UGGGGGAUAUUGGACAAUGGGGGGAACCCUGAUCCAGCGACGCCGCGUGAGUGAAGAAGUAUUUCGGUAUGUAAAGCUCUAUCAGCAGGGAAGAAAGAAAUGACGGUACCUGAGUAAGAAGCCCGGCUAACUACGUGCC
This 139-nucleotide ribosomal RNA is filed under the name uncultured bacterium. RNAcentral's name for it is "partial 16S ribosomal RNA". It matches the Rfam family "Bacterial small subunit ribosomal RNA", at positions 355 to 509 of the family's 1533-position model. The record is from RNAcentral.